This 2662-nucleotide ribosomal RNA is filed under the name Escherichia coli. RNAcentral's name for it is "23S ribosomal RNA". It matches the Rfam family "Bacterial large subunit ribosomal RNA". The record is from RNAcentral. Lineage: Bacteria; Pseudomonadati; Pseudomonadota; Gammaproteobacteria; Enterobacterales; Enterobacteriaceae.
UAUAACCGGCGAUUUCCGAAUGGGGAAACCCAGUGUGAUUCGUCACACUAUCAUUAACUGAAUCCAUAGGUUAAUGAGGCGAACCGGGGGAACUGAAACAUCUAAGUACCCCGAGGAAAAGAAAUCAACCGAGAUUCCCCCAGUAGCGGCGAGCGAACGGGGAGCAGCCCAGAGCCUGAAUCAGUGUGUGUGUUAGUGGAAGCGUCUGGAAAGGCGCGCGAUACAGGGUGACAGCCCCGUACACAAAAAUGCACAUGCUGUGAGCUCGAUGAGUAGGGCGGGACACGUGGUAUCCUGUCUGAAUAUGGGGGGACCAUCCUCCAAGGCUAAAUACUCCUGACUGACCGAUAGUGAACCAGUACCGUGAGGGAAAGGCGAAAAGAACCCCGGCGAGGGGAGUGAAAAAGAACCUGAAACCGUGUACGUACAAGCAGUGGGAGCACAGAGCAAUCUGUGUGACUGCGUACCUUUUGUAUAAUGGGUCAGCGACUUAUAUUCUGUAGCAAGGUUAACCGAAUAGGGGAGCCGAAGGGAAACCGAGUCUUAACUGGGCGUUAAGUUGCAGGGUAUAGACCCGAAACCCGGUGAUCUAGCCAUGGGCAGGUUGAAGGUUGGGUAACACUAACUGGAGGACCGAACCGACUAAUGUUGAAAAAUUAGCGGAUGACUUGUGGCUGGGGGUGAAAGGCCAAUCAAACCGGGAGAUAGCUGGUUCUCCCCGAAAGCUAUUUAGGUAGCGCCUCGUGAAUUCAUCUCCGGGGGUAGAGCACUGUUUCGGCAAGGGGGUCAUCCCGACUUACCAACCCGAUGCAAACUGCGAAUACCGGAGAAUGUUAUCACGGGAGACACACGGCGGGUGCUAACGUCCGUCGUGAAGAGGGAAACAACCCAGACCGCCAGCUAAGGUCCCAAAGUCAUGGUUAAGUGGGAAACGAUGUGGGAAGGCCCAGACAGCCAGGAUGUUGGCUUAGAAGCAGCCAUCAUUUAAAGAAAGCGUAAUAGCUCACUGGUCGAGUCGGCCUGCGCGGAAGAUGUAACGGGGCUAAACCAUGCACCGAAGCUGCGGCAGCGACGCUUAUGCGUUGUUGGGUAGGGGAGCGUUCUGUAAGCCUGCGAAGGUGUGCUGUGAGGCAUGCUGGAGGUAUCAGAAGUGCGAAUGCUGACAUAAGUAACGAUAAAGCGGGUGAAAAGCCCGCUCGCCGGAAGACCAAGGGUUCCUGUCCAACGUUAAUCGGGGCAGGGUGAGUCGACCCCUAAGGCGAGGCCGAAAGGCGUAGUCGAUGGGAAACAGGUUAAUAUUCCUGUACUUGGUGUUACUGCGAAGGGGGGACGGAGAAGGCUAUGUUGGCCGGGCGACGGUUGUCCCGGUUUAAGCGUGUAGGCUGGUUUUCCAGGCAAAUCCGGAAAAUCAAGGCUGAGGCGUGAUGACGAGGCACUACGGUGCUGAAGCAACAAAUGCCCUGCUUCCAGGAAAAGCCUCUAAGCAUCAGGUAACAUCAAAUCGUACCCCAAACCGACACAGGUGGUCAGGUAGAGAAUACCAAGGCGCUUGAGAGAACUCGGGUGAAGGAACUAGGCAAAAUGGUGCCGUAACUUCGGGAGAAGGCACGCUGAUAUGUAGGUGAAGUCCCUCGCGGAUGGAGCUGAAAUCAGUCGAAGAUACCAGCUGGCUGCAACUGUUUAUUAAAAACACAGCACUGUGCAAACACGAAAGUGGACGUAUACGGUGUGACGCCUGCCCGGUGCCGGAAGGUUAAUUGAUGGGGUUAGCGCAAGCGAAGCUCUUGAUCGAAGCCCCGGUAAACGGCGGCCGUAACUAUAACGGUCCUAAGGUAGCGAAAUUCCUUGUCGGGUAAGUUCCGACCUGCACGAAUGGCGUAAUGAUGGCCAGGCUGUCUCCACCCGAGACUCAGUGAAAUUGAACUCGCUGUGAAGAUGCAGUGUACCCGCGGCAAGACGGAAAGACCCCGUGAACCUUUACUAUAGCUUGACACUGAACAUUGAGCCUUGAUGUGUAGGAUAGGUGGGAGGCUUUGAAGUGUGGACGCCAGUCUGCAUGGAGCCGACCUUGAAAUACCACCCUUUAAUGUUUGAUGUUCUAACGUUGACCCGUGAUCCGGGUUGCGGACAGUGUCUGGUGGGUAGUUUGACUGGGGCGGUCUCCUCCUAAAGAGUAACGGAGGAGCACGAAGGUUGGCUAAUCCUGGUCGGACAUCAGGAGGUUAGUGCAAUGGCAUAAGCCAGCUUGACUGCGAGCGUGACGGCGCGAGCAGGUGCGAAAGCAGGUCAUAGUGAUCCGGUGGUUCUGAAUGGAAGGGCCAUCGCUCAACGGAUAAAAGGUACUCCGGGGAUAACAGGCUGAUACCGCCCAAGAGUUCAUAUCGACGGCGGUGUUUGGCACCUCGAUGUCGGCUCAUCACAUCCUGGGGCUGAAGUAGGUCCCAAGGGUAUGGCUGUUCGCCAUUUAAAGUGGUACGCGAGCUGGGUUUAGAACGUCGUGAGACAGUUCGGUCCCUAUCUGCCGUGGGCGCUGGAGAACUGAGGGGGGCUGCUCCUAGUACGAGAGGACCGGAGUGGACGCAUCACUGGUGUUCGGGUUGUCAUGCCAAUGGCACUGCCCGGUAGCUAAAUGCGGAAGAGAUAAGUGCUGAAAGCAUCUAAG